Molecule: ribosomal RNA, 497 nt
Filed under: uncultured bacterium
Lineage: Bacteria
Description: partial 16S ribosomal RNA
Rfam family: Bacterial small subunit ribosomal RNA
Source: RNAcentral
GAUGAACGCUGGCGGCGUGCCUAAUACAUGCAAGUCGAACGAACAGACGAGGAUCUUUCGGCUCUGACGUUAGCGACGGACGGGUAAUUAACACGUGAAUAACCUACCUAUAAGACUUAGAUAACUUCAGGAAACCGGAACUCAGACCGGGUCAUAUAUUGAACCGGAGGGUUCAAGAGUGACAGACGGUUUUGCUGUCACUUAUAGAUGUGGCCGCGCCGCAUUAUCUAGUGGUUAAGGUAACGGCUUACCAAGGCGACGAUGCGUAGCCGACCGGAGAGGGUGAUAGGCCACCCUGGAACUGAGACACCGUCACGACUCCUACGGGAGGCAGCAGUAGGGAACCGUACGCAACGGGCGAAAGCCUGACGGAGCAACGCCGCGUGAGUGAUGAAGGUCUUCGGAUCGUAAAACUCUGUUACUAGGGAAGAACCACUGUGUAAGGAAAUAUGCACGUCUUGACGGUACCUAAUCAGAAAGCGACGGCUAACUACGUG